UAUUUUAGUCUUGUUAGAGGAACCUGUUUUAUAAUCGAUAAACCACGUAUAUCUCACUUAUUUUAAAUAACUUGUAUACCGUCAUUAUUAGAUAACUUUCAAAAAAUUAGUUAUUAAAAUUAAAUAAAAUUAAAUAUAUUAGAUCAAGGUGCAGUUAAUAAAUAAGAAAAAAUGGGUUACAAUAAAAUUUAUUUAAAACGAAUUAUAUAAAUGUAAAAAUAUAUGAAGGAGGAUUUAAUUGUAAUUUUUUUUAUAAGAUAAUAAUAUGAUAAUAGCUCUAAAAUAU
Molecule: ribosomal RNA, 286 nt
Filed under: Aegla longirostri
Lineage: Eukaryota; Metazoa; Arthropoda; Malacostraca; Decapoda; Aeglidae
Description: partial 12S small subunit ribosomal RNA
Source: RNAcentral